UUUCAGCCAAAGUGGCCAAAGAACUCGUGUC
RNAcentral lists this non-coding RNA (31 nucleotides) under Macaca fascicularis (crab-eating macaque). Lineage: Eukaryota; Metazoa; Chordata; Mammalia; Primates; Cercopithecidae. The record is from RNAcentral. RNAcentral also lists the same sequence under 1 other name.